Molecule: long non-coding RNA, 719 nt
Organism: Mus musculus (house mouse)
Lineage: Eukaryota; Metazoa; Chordata; Mammalia; Rodentia; Muridae
Product: predicted gene, 41209
Exons: 3
Source: RefSeq, a predicted model, not a curated record
CGAAUCACCUGUCGCCUGGUGCAUAGAUCAUGCAGAAACAACCAUAUAAAUAACUAACAUAAGAGUACUGAAAGAUGAUUUGGGGAAGUAAAUGAGACUAAUUAAGUUUCUUUAGGAUAAAUUCAUAUUUUAGAGAAAAACAAAUUAUAGUAGAUAAAAAUAUACAUCAACUAAAACUGAAAUAUGAAAAGAAAAACUUGGGGAAAUCAGCUGUAACAAGAUUGACAUCUUAAAUCUUUGGACGGGUCCAGAGGUUCAGUCCAUUAUAAUCAAUGCAGGAAGCAUGGCAGCAUCCAGGCAGUCGUGGCACUGGAGGAGUCUUAACUGAGCUUUGGGAAGUUGGAAUGGACAUGGGUCUACUUCUGCGUGAAGGAAUGACUCAGGAGGAGCAUCAUCCCUCAGGAGUGUGAGGGCCAAGGAAAAGAUCAGUACCUCAGCAUCCCUAGCUCCCAGAAAGGCGCUCCACAUGUAAGUACACCAUGAAGACCUGUAAUGGUUUGUAUAUGCUCGGCCCAGAAGUGGCACUAUUAGAAUGUGUGGCCCUGUUGGAGUAGGUGUGUCACUGUGGGUGUGGGCUCUAAGACCAUCACCCUAGCUGCCUGGAAGUCAGUCUUCCAUUAGCAGCUUUCAGGUGAAGAAUUAGAACUCUCGGCUCUGCCUGCACCAUGCCUGCCUGGAUGUUGCCAUGCUCCCACCUUGAUGAUAAUGGACUGAACCUC